GAGGGCAAAGCUCAAGAGGCAGAGCAUGUGCUUAACAUGCACGAGGUCCUGGGUUCCAACCCUAGUACCUCCU
This 73-nucleotide transfer RNA is filed under the name Camelus bactrianus (Bactrian camel). It matches the Rfam family "tRNA". From Rfam's summary of the family: Transfer RNA (tRNA) molecules are approximately 80 nucleotides in length. Their secondary structure includes four short double-helical elements and three loops (D, anti-codon, and T loops). Lineage: Eukaryota; Metazoa; Chordata; Mammalia; Artiodactyla; Camelidae. RNAcentral also lists the same sequence under 1 other name. The record is from Rfam by way of RNAcentral.